Molecule: non-coding RNA, 1561 nt
Organism: Callithrix jacchus (white-tufted-ear marmoset)
Lineage: Eukaryota; Metazoa; Chordata; Mammalia; Primates; Cebidae
Source: RefSeq, a predicted model, not a curated record
GCUGAUAAAGAUGGCAAGCUGGGCGGGGGCUGACUAUGAAGACCCCUGCAGGCCCUACAGGGUGUGUGCCCAAGGGCAAUGUCCAGUCACUGAUGGCUUUUAAUGUAGUUGUAGUAGGGUGGAGAGCAGUGGACUGGUCUGAACUAUCAGUGAGGUGUCAUGGAUAGGGCUUUUAGUGAUGGGUAGGGACAGAAAAUGAGAAAAGUCAGAGAAACAUUGACGACCACUAUGGCUGCCACAGCAGCUCCAUUGCCCGAGCACUCACACGUGCCAGGCACUCUGCCCAACCUUUCCAUGCAUCAUUCCAUUUCAUCCUCACAACAAUCUGACUUAGGUUCUGUUAUUCUCAUUUUAUGGAUGAAGAAACUGAGGCUUAGAAGUUAAGUGAUUUGCCCAAGGUCAUACAGUAAGUGUCGCAGAGCCAAGCAUCAAACUGAGAUCCAGUUCCAGGCACGCUGCUCUGGGUUGCUAUGAUGCACUCCUCAGGCCGGCGCCCAGGGCUCCAGCUCAGGCAAUGGGGUGGGAGGCAGUGCCACUGACUAGACAGGCCUCUUUGGAGAAAGACUACAAGCUGAACUUUGGAUGUGCAGAGUCUGAGAUGCCUGUGGGAUGUGCACAACAAGGAGGUGCCCAGUAGCAACUGAAGAUGUGGAUGUGCAGGGCAGGGAGGAAACACUAUCUGGCUGUUUCUAGAUGGCAUCUCUCUUUCCCAAGGAGAUGUCCCUAUGAAGGAGGGUCAAGUGGAGGAAGAGGAACUCAAAGGAACAGAAAGGACAUCAGAGAGGAAGAUGUCUCACUGGAACCUUCGAGUCAACAUGCCUCAACUGAAUUCACUGUCUUCUGCAAAUCCAUCCUGGCUCAGUGAAAGGCACCACCAUCUUGCUGGUCAUCAAGCAAACACCUGGGAGACAUCCCUGCCUCCAUCUCCCUCUCCUGCCAUCAGAUCAAUGGCCCAACACUUCGGCUUCCUCUGAAAAUCCCUCUCUUCUUCUCUGGCCCCACCAUUAGUUAUCUCUCCCUUGGCCUGCAUUUCCUGCCUGAGGCAUCGAACUUGACGUCUUCCUGCCUGGAACCCUCCAAGCUACCUUCCAUUUGGUCACGCUAUAAUCUUAGGAUGCAGGUGUGACCAAGUGCAUUCUGUGAUUAAAACCCUCAGUGACUUCUCUCACCCGUAGGAUAAAGCCAAAGCUCUUCCGCAGGGCCUCGGAGGCCCUCCCUCAACAACACUGUCCAUCCCGCCUCUCUUCUGCUCAGUUUUGGCUGUCAAGCUCCUGUGGAAUGUGCCGUGCCCGCUGCCAGGAGAGCCCUCCUGAGGAGUCUGUACUCACAGUCAGCCUCUCGUAAAGCCAUUUCCAGGCAGGAUGGGGGACUUCCCUCAUCCCAGUACUUGUCACAUGCUAAUAUGCUUGUCCAGUUUUGUGUCAGUCUCCCCACUGGACUCAGCUUCUCCUGGGUGAAAACUUAACUGUGUCACACUUUGGCUGCCAGUAUUUGUAGAAGUGUCUGCUGAACGAAUAAAUGACUGACUGAAGCAAGUCCUCGGCUUGGAGGAAUCCAGCAA